CCUACGGGAGGCUGCAGUGAGGAAUAUUGGUCAAUGGGCGCAAGCCUGAACCAGCCAAGUCGCGUGAGGGAUGACGGUCCUAUGGAUUGUAAACCUCUUUUGUCGGGGAGCAAGGCCCGCCACGUGUGGCGGGAAGGAGAGUACCCGAAGAAAAAGCAUCGGCUAACUCCGUGCCAGCAGCCGCGGUAAUACGGAGGAUGCGAGCGUUAUCCGGAUUUAUUGGGUUUAAAGGGUGCGUAGGCGGAAUGUUAAGUCAGCGGUCAAAUGUCGGUGCUCAACACCGGCCUGCCGUUGAAACUGGUCGUCUUGAGUGAGCGAGAAGUAUGCGGAAUGCGUGGUGUAGCGGUGAAAUGCAUAGAUAUCACGCAGAACUCCGAUUGCGAAGGCAGCAUACCGGCGCUCAACUGACGCUGAGGCACGAAAGCGUGGGGAUCGAACAGGAUUAGAUACCCCUGUAGUC
This 460-nucleotide ribosomal RNA is filed under the name uncultured bacterium. Its description in RNAcentral is "partial 16S ribosomal RNA". It matches the Rfam family "Bacterial small subunit ribosomal RNA", at positions 338 to 795 of the family's 1533-position model. The record is from RNAcentral.